UACGUAGGUGGCAAGCGUUAUCCGGAAUUACUGGGCGUAAAGCGCACGCAGGCGGUCUUUUAAGUUUGACGUGAAAGCUCCCGGCUUAACUGGGAGAGGUCGUUGAAGACUGGAAGACUUGAGGCAAUGAGAGGGGUGUAGAAUUCCCGGUGUAGUGGUGGAAUGCGUAGAUAUCGGGGGGAAUACCAGUGGCGAAAGCGGCACCCUAGCGUUAGCCUGACGCUCAUGCACGAAAGCGUGGGGAGCAAACAGG
This 253-nucleotide ribosomal RNA is filed under the name uncultured bacterium. Its description in RNAcentral is "partial 16S ribosomal RNA". It matches the Rfam family "Bacterial small subunit ribosomal RNA", at positions 524 to 776 of the family's 1533-position model. The record is from RNAcentral.